RNAcentral lists this ribosomal RNA (253 nucleotides) under uncultured bacterium. RNAcentral describes it as "partial 16S ribosomal RNA". It matches the Rfam family "Bacterial small subunit ribosomal RNA", at positions 524 to 776 of the family's 1533-position model. The record is from RNAcentral.
UACAUGGGGUGCAAACGUUGCUCGGAAUUAUUGGGCGUAAAGCGCACGUAGGCGGUUCGUUAAGUCGGAUGUGAAAGCCCUCGGCUCAACUGAGGAAGUGCACCCGAAACUGGCGAGCUUGAGUACGAAAGAGGAUCGCGGAAUUCCCGGUGUAGAGGUGAAAUUCGUAGAUAUGGGGAGGAACACCGGUGGCGAAGGCGGCCACCUGGACGGUCACUGACGCUGAGACGCGAAAGCGUGGGGAGCAAACAGG